Molecule: transfer RNA, 73 nt
Filed under: Stegodyphus mimosarum
Lineage: Eukaryota; Metazoa; Arthropoda; Arachnida; Araneae; Eresidae
Rfam family: tRNA
About the family: Transfer RNA (tRNA) molecules are approximately 80 nucleotides in length. Their secondary structure includes four short double-helical elements and three loops (D, anti-codon, and T loops).
Source: Rfam by way of RNAcentral
GCCUUCGUGGUGUAGAGGUCAGCACGCUCGACGCGUAACCGAGAGGUCCGUGGUUCGAAUCCCGGCGAAGGCG